UUUACGCAACCUCCACAUGCUCGAACAUCUCUGACGUAGCAGGCGUAAGGUAGGAGGGAGCCAUUCAUUCACCAACAACAGCAACACACACACACACACACACACAGAGACAGACAGACAGACAGACAGACAGCAGCGCUAACAUGUCGGAGAAGAAGCAGACCGUGGACCUGGGUUUACUGGAGGAGGACGAUGAGUUUGAAGAGUUCCCAGCAGAGGAUUGGACGGGGCUGGAUGAAGAUGAGGAUGCUCAUGUUUGGGAAGACAACUGGGACGAUGACAACGUAGAAGAUGAUUUCUCAAACCAGCUGAGAGCCGAGCUGGAAAAACAUGGUUACAAAAUGGAGACAUCAUAGCGGCUGACGUGGCCUCUAUGUAUACGAUGACAGUGGAUAUGGACAUUUCUGUUUGAAUAGAACCGGUAGACCACACAUCACCGGAAGAUAUUUGACGACGUGAAUUUGUUUCUUUUUUGUAAGAAAUAUGGAUAAAAAUAAACAGUUUGGAGAUUAAA
Hippoglossus stenolepis (Pacific halibut) is the source of this 514-nucleotide long non-coding RNA. RefSeq lists it as uncharacterized. The record is from RefSeq and is a predicted model, not a curated record. The transcript is spliced from 3 exons. NCBI's taxonomy places the organism in Eukaryota, Metazoa, Chordata, Actinopteri, Pleuronectiformes, Pleuronectidae.